UUUCGCUAUCCUUUUUAAUCCUAAUUCUUCAACUUUUCCAUCUAUUACAACUAGUUUCUGACUAGUUGUAAUAGAUGGAAAAGGACCAAUCACAGGGACCCAAUAUGAAU
This 110-nucleotide microRNA precursor is filed under the name Brugia malayi. RNAcentral describes it as "microRNA bma-mir-9530 precursor". The record is from miRBase by way of RNAcentral. Lineage: Eukaryota; Metazoa; Nematoda; Chromadorea; Rhabditida; Onchocercidae.